RNAcentral lists this small nuclear RNA (104 nucleotides) under Neotoma lepida (desert woodrat). Lineage: Eukaryota; Metazoa; Chordata; Mammalia; Rodentia; Cricetidae. The record is from RNAcentral.
AUGCUCACUUUGCCAGCACAUACACUAAAAUUGAAAUGAUACAGAGAUUAGCAUGGCCUCUGAGCAAGGAUGACAUGAAAAUUCAUGCAGUAUUUCAUAUUCUC